Molecule: ribosomal RNA, 332 nt
Filed under: uncultured Actinomycetes bacterium
Lineage: Bacteria; Bacillati; Actinomycetota; Actinomycetes
Description: bacterial SSU rRNA
Rfam family: Bacterial small subunit ribosomal RNA
Source: RNAcentral
GACGAACGCUGGCGGCGUGGAUUAGGCAUGCAAGUCGAACGGUAAACGUUCCUUCGGGGAUGUUGAGAGUGGCGAACGGGUGAGUAACACGUGGGCAACCUGCCCUAGAGACUGGGAUAACGUCCCGAAAGGGACGCUAAUACCGGAUAAUGCGUGAUCCGCUAAGUGGGUCACGCCAAAUGGUAGCUUCGGCUUCUGCUCUGGGAUGGGCCCGCGCCGGAUUAGCUUGUUGGUGAGGUAACGGCUCACCAAGGCAACGAUCCGUAGCUGGUCUGAGAGGACGAUCAGCCACACUGGGACUGAGACACGGCCCAGACACCUACGGGUGGCAG